RNAcentral lists this transfer RNA (104 nucleotides) under Promethearchaeota archaeon CR_4. RNAcentral's name for it is "Candidatus Lokiarchaeota archaeon CR_4 tRNA-Ser". It matches the Rfam family "tRNA". Rfam says of the family: Transfer RNA (tRNA) molecules are approximately 80 nucleotides in length. The record is from RNAcentral. Lineage: Archaea; Promethearchaeati; Promethearchaeota.
GCUUUGGUCGCCUAGCGGUAGGGCGCCGGCCUCGAGUCAGGCGUGACGUUUGAUGGAUAGCCGGUGUGGGUUACCACGCGGGGGUUCGAAUCCCUCCCAAAGCG